Jatropha curcas is the source of this 781-nucleotide non-coding RNA. Lineage: Eukaryota; Viridiplantae; Streptophyta; Magnoliopsida; Malpighiales; Euphorbiaceae. The record is from RefSeq and is a predicted model, not a curated record.
UUCAAGAAUUUGCCCUCCCUUUCGACUGUUACUGGCACAAGAAACGGCUCUAUGGCGACUUCUGCUUCCUCAUCCCCAGCUCUAGACUCAAAACUGGAACUCGUUAAAAGAAUGAGAAGCCAUGAAAUUGCUUUAGCAGAGCUUGAUAACCUUUCAUCUUCUCGACCUGUCUACCAGAAAAAUGGGAACAUUUUCUUUCGUACAACCAUCCAGAAAGCAAAAGCAUCUGAACAGAAACAACUUGAUUCCAUCAAAGCCAAGCUAGAAAAGUUGAACUCCCGUCAAUCUCAAUAGGGUUUGUUUCGGAACUCGACUGAUAUCUGGCUGGUGAAGAAUUACAGCUUUCAAUGUCUUAAAGUUGUAGAAAUUGUUGUGGUUAAUCUUGAUCUUCCUAUAAUGGUUAAAAGUACCAAAGAAAUGCCGUCAAUCUCAAUAGGGUUCGUUUCGGAACUCGACUGAUAUCUGGCUGGUGAAGAAUUACAGCUUUCAAUGUCUUAAAGUUGCAGAAAUUGUUGUGGUUAAUCUUAUCUUCCUAUAAUGGUUAAAAGUACCAAAGAAAUGCCUCCAUUCUUUAAUAUGGGCAUUUCAGACCUAGCACUCCAUUAUUUAAUAUGGCUAUUUCUCUUGCCUUCUUUGUAGCCUUUUUCCUCUGUUCUUGUACAUUAUAUUAUAAUCUCCUGAUUGGUUAUUUGAUAGGUUAAGAAGAUAAUUAGUAUAUACAAAAUCAAACUUAAUAAGUUGGAUGAGGAAAACUGAGGAUUUUCAACUGUCUUUAUUUGAA